RNAcentral lists this ribosomal RNA (466 nucleotides) under Vreelandella stevensii. RNAcentral's name for it is "partial 16S ribosomal RNA". It matches the Rfam family "Bacterial small subunit ribosomal RNA", at positions 338 to 796 of the family's 1533-position model. Lineage: Bacteria; Pseudomonadati; Pseudomonadota; Gammaproteobacteria; Oceanospirillales; Halomonadaceae. The record is from RNAcentral.
CCUACGGGGGGCAGCAGUGGGGAAUAUUGGACAAUGGGGGGAACCCUGAUCCAGCCAUGCCGCGUGUGUGAAGAAGGCCCUCGGGUUGUAAAGCACUUUCAGUGAGGAAGAACGCCUGGUGGUUAAUACCCAUCAGGAAAGACAUCACUCACAGAAGAAGCACCGGCUAACUCCGUGCCAGCAGCCGCGGUAAUACGGAGGGUGCGAGCGUUAAUCGGAAUUACUGGGCGUAAAGCGCGCGUAGGUGGCUUGAUAAGCCGGUUGUGAAAGCCCCGGGCUCAACCUGGGAACGGCAUCCGGAACUGUCAAGCUAGAGUGCAGGAGAGGAAGGGAGAAUUCCCGGUGUAGCGGUGAAAUGCGUAGAGAUCGGGAGGAAUACCAGUGGCGAAGGCGGCCUUCUGGACUGACACUGACACUGAGGUGCGAAAGCGUGGGUAGCAAACAGGAUUAGAUACCCUUGUAGUCC